GAUAGGACAUAGAUAAUGAUAUAUCUUAUCCUAAACCCGAUCUGAUAUUAAUUUAAAUCCUCUUUUCAAAUUUAUAAAUUUAUAAUUAUUGUAAAAUAUUUAUAUGAUAAAUUCUUUAUCCGAUCUGACCCUGCUUGUCUUGUUUACAUAAUCUGGCUUGACUACACCAUCUAUACCUUAUUCGAUCGGACUUGACUCGAUGCAAAUACAUGACAAAUAUGAAUAUAAAUUUUUUGCUUGCAUGUAAUAUAUAAAUAUUGAUAGAUCGGACGCAUGUUCAACCCUUUGCCAUCUUUAUAUAUGUCACCUCUUUUAACACAACAAUUCCCCUCCUAAAAACUCCUUAACUCCUUUCUUGUCGCUGCACCAUCAUCCCCAAGUUUCAUUAGAUAUUUGGAUCCAUGAUGAGCUAGCGGAGGAGAUCUAGUCAAUGAUGAGGGGCCAAUGGUAGAGAGGUGAGCAUGAGUGUGAUGAAGACAAUAUUAUAGAUGACAUUGGUAGUGUAUGAGACACUUCAAUUCAAACUCUUGACGGUGCUCUAGCAUGGAUGGACGAAGCAGGGCUAAUUAUAGA
Molecule: long non-coding RNA, 573 nt
Filed under: Elaeis guineensis (African oil palm)
Lineage: Eukaryota; Viridiplantae; Streptophyta; Magnoliopsida; Arecales; Arecaceae
Description: long non-coding RNA (EGUI_LNC002745)
Source: RNAcentral